UGGCCGAUAGCUCAGACGGCAGAGCAGUGGAUUCUUAAUCCAAAGCGCGUCGGUUCGAAACCGACUCGGCCAACCA
RNAcentral lists this transfer RNA (76 nucleotides) under Betaproteobacteria bacterium. Its description in RNAcentral is "tRNA-Lys". It matches the Rfam family "tRNA". Rfam says of the family: Transfer RNA (tRNA) molecules are approximately 80 nucleotides in length. Their secondary structure includes four short double-helical elements and three loops (D, anti-codon, and T loops). The record is from RNAcentral. Lineage: Bacteria; Pseudomonadati; Pseudomonadota; Betaproteobacteria.